Molecule: long non-coding RNA, 593 nt
Organism: Hibiscus syriacus
Lineage: Eukaryota; Viridiplantae; Streptophyta; Magnoliopsida; Malvales; Malvaceae
Exons: 6
Source: RefSeq, a predicted model, not a curated record
AUCCCUAAUUUUCCUACCCAUUUUUCUUCUUAUCGUUCCUAACCUUCCUACCGUGCAACCUUCUCCACCAGCGCAGCCUCACGCUGCCGUUGCCAGUUUCCAAUCGCCAACUGCCAACCAUAAGAGAGAGAGACAGAGAGAAUCCGAGCAGACAUUAUCAGAAAUGGAUCAGAUAUUGAAUAAGGUUGGCUCCUAUUGGCUGGGCAAGAGAGCCAACAAGGUGAUGGAUUCCAUUGGCGACGACUUCAACUCUUGAGGGCAUUAGAUCUGCAUAUUGGCUUUUUUAGCUUUGGACAAAUGGAAGCUGCUACAAACAACUUCAACACCGCAAAUAAAAUUGGAGAAGGUGGUUUUGGAGCUGGCUACAAGGGUGUAUUGCUUGAUGGUACUGUAAUUGCAAUUAAAAAAUUUCUUCAAAAUCAAGACAAGGAGAUCUAGAAUUCCUGAAUGAACUAGCCGUGAUUUCAGGCUUACAACACCGAAUGUUGUUAGGUUGUAUGGAUGUUGCGUUGAGGGAACUCAACUGUUGUCGGUAUAUGAAUACAUGGAAAAUAAUAGCCUUGCACAUGCUUUAUUCGGUCCCAAAGUAAGCA